RNAcentral lists this ribosomal RNA (492 nucleotides) under uncultured bacterium. Its description in RNAcentral is "partial 16S ribosomal RNA". It matches the Rfam family "Bacterial small subunit ribosomal RNA", at positions 29 to 507 of the family's 1533-position model. The record is from RNAcentral.
AGUGGACGCUGGCGAUAGGCCUAACACAUGCAAGUCGAACGGCAGCACAGUAAGAGCUUGCUCUUACGGGUGGCGAGUGGCGGACGGGUGAGGAAUACAUCGGAAUCUACUUUUUCGUGGGGGAUAACGUAGGGAAACUUACGCUAAUACCGCAUACGACCUACGGGUGAAAGCAGGGGAUCUUCGGACCUUGCGCGAUUGAAUGAGCCGAUGUCGGAUUAGCUAGUUGGCGGGGUAAAGGCCCACCAAGGCGACGAUUCGUAGCUGGUCUGAGAGGAUGAUCAGCCACACUGGAACUGAGACACGGUCCAGACUCCUACGGGAGGCAGCAGUGGGGAAUAUUGGACAAAGGGCGCAAGCCUGAUCCAGCCAUACCGCGUGGGUGAAGAAGGCCUUCGGGUUGUAAAGCCCUUUUGUUGGGAAAGAAAAGCAGCAGGUUAAUACCCCGCUGUUCUGACGGUACCCAAAGAAUAAGCACCGGCUAACUUCGUG